RNAcentral lists this ribosomal RNA (253 nucleotides) under uncultured bacterium. Its description in RNAcentral is "partial 16S ribosomal RNA". It matches the Rfam family "Bacterial small subunit ribosomal RNA", at positions 524 to 776 of the family's 1533-position model. The record is from RNAcentral.
UACGUAGGGGGCGAGCGUUGUCCGGAAUCAUUGGGCGUAAAGAGCGUGUAGGCGGACUUAAAGGUCUGGUGUGAAAGCCCGGGGCUCAACCCCGGAGGGUCACUGGAAACCAUAAGUCUUGAAUCUGGAAGAGGAGAGUGGAAUUCCUGGUGUAGCGGUGGAAUGCGCAGAUAUCAGGAGGAACACCAAUGGCGAAGGCAGCUCGUUACACGAAUAUUGACUCUGAGGCACGAAAGCGUGGGGAUCAAACAGG